CUCACGCGGGCAGCUCACCGGAUAGGACAGCGGAAUGAUAGCCGGGCUGAAGACCUUGCUUGACCAGCUGAGAGGAGGUGCAUGGCCGUCGUCAGUUCGUACUGUGAAGCAUCCUGUUUAGUCAGGCAACGAGCGAGACCCACGCCAACAGUUGCUAGCAUGUUCUCCGGAAUGAUGAGGACACUGUUGGGACCGCCUCUGCUAAAGAGGAGGAAGGAAUGGGCAACGGUAGGCCAGCAUGCCCCGAAUUAUCCGGGCUACACGCGGGCUACAAUGGUCAGGACAAUGGGAAACGGCACUGAAAAGUGUAGUCAAUCUCCUAAACCUGUCCCAAGUUCGGAUUGUGGGCUGCAACUCGCCCACAUGAAGCUGGAAUCCGUAGUAAUCGCGUUUCAAAAUAGCGCGGUGAAUAAGUCCCUG
Molecule: ribosomal RNA, 420 nt
Filed under: uncultured methanogenic archaeon
Lineage: Archaea; Methanobacteriati; Methanobacteriota
Description: bacterial SSU rRNA
Rfam family: Archaeal small subunit ribosomal RNA
Source: RNAcentral